AUGCUCCAAAUAUUUCAUGUCCAAUUCAUAGACAUCCUUGAAUUUCUUAACGAUGAUGGCAUGUUUGGUGUUCAUAUUUUUGUCAGCCAAAUAAUAAUAGGUGCACUUGACUGUUUGAGGAAAUGCCAAUUGAAAUGCCAAUUGUGGUCAGCAUGUUGUAAGUACUUUGGGAAACAAGUUCUAGGUUUGCUGGUCCAUAUUAAUUUCCUCGAGCUUAUGUUCACAUCUCGUCAUAUUUACACCUCUCCGUCGACUGCCACCUAUCAUGGAGGGAGAUGGCUUGGCCAGGCCGUCAACACCCAUCGGCAACUUCCGGCAGGCGCCGUCCCAUUCUUCUUCCCCUUGCUCUGA
This 351-nucleotide ribosomal RNA is filed under the name Triticum aestivum (bread wheat). RNAcentral's name for it is "partial small subunit ribosomal RNA". The record is from RNAcentral. Lineage: Eukaryota; Viridiplantae; Streptophyta; Magnoliopsida; Poales; Poaceae.